This is a non-coding RNA of Styela clava, 575 nucleotides long. NCBI's taxonomy places the organism in Eukaryota, Metazoa, Chordata, Ascidiacea, Stolidobranchia, Styelidae. The record is from RefSeq and is a predicted model, not a curated record.
UUGAAUUCAUAUUUAUCCCGUGAGGGAAAGCCGAUAACUUGGCAAAUUUUAUUUUUUAAUAAAAUAGUUUUGUUGUCGCAGUUAGGGAUACGAGAGUAUGGAAACAAGUGGCAGUAUAGUGGUAAGGUGCUUUGGUGCCGGAGACGUCGUGUAAAGAGGUACCGGUACAAGCCUAAGGACCUAACCUGACGUUACGGUACGGUACCGGUAACAGUUACUGUGGACUGUGGAUGAAGUCAAGUGUUGAGCUGACAAUGACAAGGGGUUGAGGGUGUCAGCACAUCAAACAGAUGUGGUGAUCGGAGACAGGGAAUUUUAAGAUUUGCUCAGUGAAAAGCGAGGUACAAAAAAAUUGGACUUGGUUGAAGAGCGAGUGUUGUGUUCAUGCACAGAGUGUGUUGGAGUGUGGUCAAGUCUUUUCCACUAGCAAGCAGGCAGGCAUCAUCGGCGAAGAGCUUGGUUAGAAGAUUUGAGCAGUUUGACAAGUCAUUUAACCCUAACCCUGGACAAUUUCGCACUGAAUGGGCAACAUUGGGGACUUUUGAGAACCUAAUUCAACAAAUCGAAAACAACCA